CUAGUUUCAACUAUUGUCGCACUUGAAAAAUGUAAAUGAUCUUUGCAUAAUAGCUGGAUGCGACUUUACUGUAAAGAGAGCUUUGAAGAAAAUUUUGCAAUGCUCCCUCCCUCCUUCCGUGAUGACUCUUUUUUCUCUGAAACUUCCAUUGCUCUGUAUAGAUUUUUAUUCAUCUAUAUAUUCGAAUUGGUCUUCUCAAUUCCUUGUCUAUUUUGAGUAACUGAAUCGGAAAAAGAAGCUUCAAUUUCAAAAAGCUCACCCUAAAAUCUAAAUCCGGCGGGUUUAUGAUCUGACCCCUUUUUUCUUUCUUUAAAUUACCCAAAAAAUUUAUUAUCAGUAAACUGGAGAAUGCCACCUAAAUUAUUUUAUGCGCGUCCAUCAUCUUUCAGCCGCAGAUCGAAGUUCUUGAUCUUCUGUCUAGUCAUUGGACUUUCGGGUUUCAUCUUAGGCUUUAUCGUGAUUUCACGGCCGAAUUUGGGGCAUAAAUGUGAGUACAACAAGCCCCUAUCGGUUUCUGUGACUUGGGAUAGGUCUGCUAGUAGUGGUGGUCUUGGUGGUAGUAGAGAGUUGAUUUCUGAUGAGGGGCAAAAAAGGUUCAAAGUGAUGGGCUUUGUAGGCAUACAAACGGGGUUCGAAUCCACAGGUAGACGACAGGCGUUGCGGAAGACUUGGUUUCCCUCUGAUAAAGGAGGCCUUAAACGGUACUACCAAACUCUUUUUCUUCUCGGUUUUAAUUUUAAUCAUACCUGAUACACUUUUCUAUGCCUGAAUAACAUUGAUAUGUUCAAAAUUGAGAAAAUGUGAACCGAUAUAUGGAAAAAUGUGCGCUUUUUGUAUUUGUUUGUUUUAUUUGAUUGGAAUUUUUUUUUUUUUUAAUUGCUUGGAUAUUUUCACUGUGUUGUUUAGAAUAAUAAUGUUUUUGUAUUAAAUAAAGGGAAAAAGUGGCAUCUUUUUUCUCUUUUUAUAUAAAUAAUGAGAACUUGUAGAUUAAGAUUCUAAGCAAUUCCUCGUUCAUCUUUUUCAACCCCAAGAUUCUUCAUGUUGUAUGUAGCUUUAGUAGAAUGGCUGUUUAUAAGGAAAAGGUAAGGUUCUUAUAAAGGCCUUGUUGAUAUGUGGAAUUAUCAUGGUUAAUACUUAGUCCAAUCAAAUUUCUGGUUCAUCAAUUAUGAGUCUUUAAUUGUUUCUUAUUCAUAUAUGAUGUACCAUUUCAUUAAUUACUUGCUUGGAAUGACAUAUAGGUUGGAAGAAUCCACAGGCUUGGUUUUUAGAUUUGUAAUUGGUAGAACCAGCAACAAACCAAAGAUGUCAGAGCUUAAGAAGGAAGUGGCAGAAUAUGAUGAUUUCCUGCUAUUAGAUAUCGAGGAGGAGUAUAAUAAGCUCCCAUAUAAAACGUUAGUGCUGACUUAUUAUAAAAGGAUCCUAUGCACAUGUUCUCUGUGAUUGACUCUGACCUUGGCUCUUUUUCAGUAUUGCUUUCUUUAAAGCUGCCUAUGCCCUUUAUGAUUCUGAUUUCUAUGUUAAAGCUGAUGAUGACAUAUAUUUGCGACCAGGUGAUUCUAGGAAUUGUAUCUAGAUUUCAGAUUUUUGUGUGCGUCAGAUUUGUUUAUUCAACUAUUCUCUUUUGUUUGCCUAUUGUUACAAUAUCUUAGCUAUAAUUUCUUCCUGAGCAGAUCGUCUUUCAUUGCUCUUGGCUAAAGAGCGUCCUCACUCACAAACAUAUAUUGGAUGCAUGAAAAAAGGACCAGUUUUCACUGACCCAAAGCUAAAAUGGUUAGUCCACACAUCAGUUUGUGAUAUGUAUUCUGCAGCUUAUUUGUUGUUUGUCAUUUGACAUGGUGUUUUGCAGUUGUUCUGCUACUUGUCAUUUAACAUGGUGAUCCGCUGUAAUUUUUAAUCUGCAUUUAACUUGGCCUAAUUAAGUUCUUGAAAAUUCCAAAGUUAAUUUUUCUCUUGAUACUGUACACUGUAUCUGUCGUAUUAAAAAUUGAAAGAGAAAAGGAUUCAUUGCCAUUCUACCUGGCCUUUCAAAUAAAAAUGCCCUUUAGUUGGCUUCAUAGAUUAAUGGAACAAAGUUUGUCCUUACUAUAUUGUAAAUUUUAGGUAAAUGCUUAGUGGUGUGAGGUUGAGGAGAAGAUUGAAUAAUAAAUAAAAUAAUUGAACACCACCCAAUCUCUUAAAAUGGGAAGAAGUCGAGGGAAGUGGCUUCAUUUACCUAUUAUGUUAAAUAUUGUUCAUAUGAAGCACAUAAGUGGUGGUUUUAUGCACUAUUGUUUUUAAAGCUAUGAAGUGAAGUGAUUGGGUUACUUUGAUUCAUACAGGUAUGAGCCACUGUCACAGUUACUUGGGACAGAGUAUUUUAUUCAUGCUUAUGGUCCAAUAUAUGCUCUAUCCGCGGAUGUUGUGGCAAGCUUGGUUGCUUUGAGAAACAACAGGUUAGUGUCCUUUUCAUUAUGUUUCCAAUGAAUACCUUUCUUCAGCUAGUUACCUAAAAAUUGUCUUGCCUUGCAUGUUGUGCUAUACAUGGUACAAUACUGUAGAAUAUAUUGCUAAUAUGGUCUUCUCUUUUCUUCCAAUCUGAAAGGAACUAGUUUUUUGAAAUUGAGAAGUUGGACAAGUGUUCUCUGACCAUCAUUAUGAUAUUUAUUUAGGCAACCUUGCACACAAGGGGUCUGUGGGAGGAAACUUGAAUGAACUUAGGAAAUGACAUAUUUUGUUGUGAAUCCUCAUCAAUUGGGAAUAAUCUUUUCAGAAGGCAGGAAAUUUAGUGAUGGGAACAAUAGAUAUUAGGCAAGCAGCAUAGGAUUGCUAAAUAUUGACAGUGGAAAUAGGGGAUGUAGCCAUAAUAAUAUUGUCCAGGACAAUUGAAAAAGUAAUAUUUCUUGAUUCAAAAAUGUCAAAUCUCAUCUAAAUGAUUAUUUGUCUAGACUAUGAGUAUUAUAAUAUUGUCGAGUACAAUUUAAUACUGCGUACUAAAUAAUAAAUUUAGGGGAAUAUAAGCUUUGUCGUGCAGCUACUCGAAGUAGUGAUUACUUAUUGACCUCACAGCAAUAGGAAGACAGCCAGGUCAUCAUUCUGUGCCUCUGCCAUCACAGGAUGAUGGCUGCCUCUCUGUUGUCACAAUAACUUUCUUGUAUGGUUCUGCUACACCUAAAAGAAUAUUUCCUGUAAAACCACAUAUCCUUGGCUAGGCCUUGAGGCCAGUGUCUUUCUAUCAUGGCUUAUUGGAUGCCAUUGUAUAUUUCUUAAUGUAGGGAGAGGAAGGGAGAAGGGACAAGACAUCAGGGGAGCGGGGGGAGGUCUGGGACAUAGGGUGGGCGAGUGAGGAAGAGAUGACUCGGGGAAGGUAAAGGUGAAAGUAGAGGCUAUUUUUAAUAAGGUUAAAUUGAGCAUUUGAGGUAUAAAGAAGUUAUUUUAAAAGACAAUAUUGAAGGUGGUCAAUUUUAAAUUUUCCCAUGUCAGCUUACGACAGGGCUUACAUGAGAAUAUUUGUUUUGGAUUAACUUGAGUUUUUGUUUCUUUCAUCUGGAAUGAUCCUCCGCUGUGCUGUGGGUUAGCUAAGUGCUACUUUCUCUUUCAAAUAGUUUCCGCAGACUGUAAUUACAGAAUACUGAUGGAGAGGUCGAUUAUGCAUGAUUAAUUCAUUUUUCAUUCAUUACUUAUGUAAAUAACUGUUUAUUUGCACAAUAUGAUACCGUAGGAUUCCUUUUGAAAUUCUGGGCUCUGUGCCUCUGAUUCAAAUACCUAUGUUUGAUACACAGUUUCCGGAUCUUUAGCAAUGAAGAUGUUACCAUUGGUUCAUGGAUUCUUGCAAUGAAUGUCAAUCAUGAGGAUAAUCGGCAGCUAUGUGAACCAGAGUGUACACCCUCAUCUAUUGCUGUUUGGGAUAUUCCCAAGUGUUCAGGUACGUCGUUUCUAGUAGUUCAAAACUGCAUAGAUAUUUCUCCUGGUGCUUAAUUAUACUCGUAAUGAAUCGUUUUUGUAUUAAAGCUGAUGCAUAGUAAUUACUAAUAUCAGUGAUGAGUUUGGCCAUAUACUGAGAUAUGUUGACCAUUGUUUAUGAAUUUUGUUGGAAAUUCUUCCGAUCCUCCAUCUUGAAUUAUAUUCCAAUGAAUAGGUUAUUAACUGAUUGAACACAAACUACACUGUUCUUCUGUGUGUCUCACUCCAAAUUGAUUUUGUAUAGCAUAACUCGCUGUUCAUUAAACUUUCUUAUAGGUUCCAAUAGUGUAUUGCUUUGAAGUGUUAGCUAUAGCAUGACAAUCUUGGUAAUAUUAUGUCUAGGACUCUGCAACCCUGAGAAAAAGAUGCUGGAACUUCAUGAGAAAGAUAGUUGUUCAAAAACCUCAACUGUACCUUCUGAUGAUGAUGAUUAACUCUAUUUGUUGCUCCUACCGAGAUUCAGGUAACUGGAACUGUGUUUCCAAGAGUGCUUUCUCCAUCGAGAACUAGGGAAAUGUUUUCGCAGCAUAUUUUGGCUCAGCACUCGAUAUCCCCUUGUACUUUAUCAUCUCAUUAAAUUUGUCAGAAGGAAAUGUUGAUGUAGUUGAUUUUGAAUUAAAAUACACUUUUAAUGGAUUUUCAACCUAUACAAAUGAUAGAAAAUAGUGGGAUUUUCAAUUCUUGCAAG
This 4627-nucleotide long non-coding RNA is filed under the name Olea europaea subsp. europaea. The record is from RNAcentral. Lineage: Eukaryota; Viridiplantae; Streptophyta; Magnoliopsida; Lamiales; Oleaceae.